This 26-nucleotide small RNA is filed under the name Bombyx mori (domestic silkworm). RNAcentral describes it as "ovarian small RNA-14985". Lineage: Eukaryota; Metazoa; Arthropoda; Insecta; Lepidoptera; Bombycidae. The record is from RNAcentral.
CUUCAGUUAAUUUUGUGGAGGGAUUC